AAGUUGGGAGCUGAAGUUGAGUCGAAUGGAGAAGAAUGGAACUGAUAUGCUCAGACCUUGUCCUUCCCACAGCCCAGAAGAGAAAAAGCCUUGACUGCCUCCUGGUUCUGUCCUGGUUGAUUGGACCAACGGUAGACACUUGACCUAAUCCUGGCCUGACAGCUCCCUCUGGGAGUCUACAGCUAAACAGGGAAGCUGGACUUUCCUCCUUCAGCUGUGAGAUGUGUCACAAGAGCGCACAACAACUCACCAUUGCCCCGGGAGUGCUCUCACCAACAUUCUGCCUCAGCCUCCCUAGCCAUCAUCCUGUACCUGGCUUCUCUCCAUGGAAACAACACACACCCAGAGGAGGGAGGAUUCUGUCUAACCCAGGGAGAUCUCGCAAGCAAGGCUGAAGCUUUCCAGUACAUCUUCUUUUUAAAUCAGGGCACUCAGAGAUUCUGGGUCACUUUGAAAAAUCUGGUACCUGUUUUUGAUCCCCUCAUACUGUACCCCAAACUAUCCUGCUGAUGGGACUUUGGACUCCCUAGCUAUCUGGAGGAGAAGUCUCAGGGCGCUCUGCACAGAGCAGCAUUUGAGGCAGUGUGGGAAAUGGGCCAGAAGGGACACCAGGGCUGGGGAGGUGGAGGGGCCAUAGCUCUCAGUUGUCCCAGUUGGGACAUGCCACCUUGGGGUAGCAUGCCACCUUGAAGAUGGGGAUUAAUGGGCCAAGCACAUGCCUGGGGAGGUUGUAAUUGUUGUUGCUUCCGUUCAUGGGCAGGCCAGGCUGGAGCAUGAUGGGAAGCUGGAAACAGAUAGAAGGCCCAGAUGGUGGUGGCUUCUCCUAGGCUCUUGGGAAAGAUAGGACCAGAGAUACUUAGCAAGGUCACCCCCAAAGCAUGUCCACGUCUAGUGCUGGACCAUGGAAAGGACCCAGGAGCGACGACACCCGGCCUGCUCUGCCUUGCAGCACUGGGUGCUGCUGUGGAUGCUGUUCUGUUUCCAUUCAGCCGUGUUCCUUGUGUCCUUGGAGUGUCCCUUAUGAAGCCAGAGAGCUGGCAGGUAAUGGAGGGCCAGGCUUUACUGUGCCCAUGCCUCUCUUUACGACGCCAUAUUUUUUUAACGAGCUAUGUAAAUGUCUGCGAGUCAGAACAAAGUCAGGGCCUCCGGCUGCCCCCUCCCCCACUCGCCUGACCUUGUGCGUCCCAGGGGAAAGUUUUCUGAGGGCCGUGGCAGUGGUGGUAGCCUCUUCCGUGUGGCCACUUCCUGGUUCAGCUUGAGUCAGAGCAGGGACUAUGGCUGACGACUUAUUUUGGGACCUUGUGCCUGUCACCUCUCUUCCUGCUCCUCAUUUACACAAUGGAAUACAGAGCGGUUAGCGCUUUCUGAAGCAUCAUGGUACCGCUACGCAGCCCUGGGCAGUGGCUGGGCCCCGCCCAGGGUUUCUUGUCAAAACAGGAAGACCACUGCUUUAGUGCUGAUCAGCCCUGGACUCAGUGCAGUGGGCAAGGGAUGGUCUCAGAGACAACCCCUGUCCCUGCUCCUCCCUGGCCUGCUCUUCCUUUGGCUUCUUCUUCUUCUUGUACCCCGGGAUAUUCUGCAACACCAUUCUCAGGAAGGUGUCUCCACAGUACAGUGGGGUUGGGGAGCAAGGAUGAAGUUGAUGAGCAGAGAACCAGGCAUGGUCACUGCUGAUGUCCUGGUUGGGGUGGCAGCUGGACUCAAAGGAGGUGAGGGAAGAGAGAGCCUGGGAUUGUGCCAGGGCAGCCAGAGACCCAGUCUCUGGGUCACCAGAAGCCUCUCCAGCCUUCCCUUCGUAGUAACAGCCAGAGUUGUGAAUGCAGAUUAUACCAUAACAGGAGGGCAUAAAUCCCUUUGCAGGCUGAGCAACCAAACUCCCAGGGGGAGCUCUGACCCCUAGGACUGCACUGCAUGGCCACUGUGUCCCCAGCUCCUAAUAGAUGCCAAGGCCAGAUUACCAGGCCUUCAGCAUAGCUGCUAAACCUCCUUGUAUUCUGAUCAGAGUUCUACACUCUACUGAGGUGCCAGGGUGGCCUGGGAGGGUUGACUGGCAUAGAUCGUGACCAUGGGCAUUGACAUUCACUCUGCUCACCUACCUAUACCAUAGUGUGCCUGCCACCAGCACCUCAUUCAUCCGUGAAAGAGAGACUGCGGGAGGCAGUGUAGCUUCGUCCACUUCACGGAUGAGAAGCCUGAGUUGAGAGUGGUUCAGAAUGAGUUCUGGCUUUCAAACCUACCCGGAGAUGGGCCUAGCUGUCCUCUCCAGAUUUGCCUCUGACAGGGAAUAUGUUAUCUUCAGAGUGGGAUUAAAGAAGAGAAUUCAGGAAUGGCUUGUAGCCUAUCUGUCAGCACGACCCCUGAUAAACUGUAGCUGACAGAAUUACUGCCCCUCCUCUGCUGCAGCCUGCCACAGAAAGGAUAUUGUGGGGACCAGGGGACAGCAAAGCCAGUCUGAGCAAACUCUAGAGGCCUGUAUGUAUAUCAAGGGAUGCUUCCUCCAAGGACAGGGGGACUAUAGAUGUUCCCAUAGGGCAGCGGUUCUCUCUGUAGGUCAGUGACCCCUUUAACAAACCUCUAUCUCCAAAAGUAUUUCCAUUACAAUCCAUAACAGUAGUAAAAUUACAGUUAUGAAUUAGC
RNAcentral lists this long non-coding RNA (2637 nucleotides) under Mus caroli (Ryukyu mouse). RNAcentral's name for it is "lncRNA (MGP_CAROLIEiJ_G0006770.1)". Lineage: Eukaryota; Metazoa; Chordata; Mammalia; Rodentia; Muridae. The record is from RNAcentral.